This 73-nucleotide transfer RNA is filed under the name Nicotiana sylvestris (wood tobacco). It matches the Rfam family "tRNA". Rfam says of the family: Transfer RNA (tRNA) molecules are approximately 80 nucleotides in length. Their secondary structure includes four short double-helical elements and three loops (D, anti-codon, and T loops). The record is from Rfam by way of RNAcentral. Lineage: Eukaryota; Viridiplantae; Streptophyta; Magnoliopsida; Solanales; Solanaceae.
GCUCUCGUAGCUCAGUUGGUUAGAGCGUCCGCUUAGAUAGCAGAGGUCUUGAGUUCGGUUCUCAACAAGAACA